UCGCUCUUUUCAGGACCUUUGCUGUUCUGAGGAGCAAACGUCCUGAAAAGAGUGAGG
RNAcentral lists this microRNA precursor (57 nucleotides) under Cavia porcellus (domestic guinea pig). RNAcentral's name for it is "microRNA cpo-mir-12080 precursor". Lineage: Eukaryota; Metazoa; Chordata; Mammalia; Rodentia; Caviidae. The record is from miRBase by way of RNAcentral.